Molecule: transfer RNA, 72 nt
Filed under: Staphylococcus aureus
Lineage: Bacteria; Bacillati; Bacillota; Bacilli; Caryophanales; Staphylococcaceae
Also listed under: 1 other name
Description: tRNA-Arg
Rfam family: tRNA
About the family: Transfer RNA (tRNA) molecules are approximately 80 nucleotides in length. Their secondary structure includes four short double-helical elements and three loops (D, anti-codon, and T loops). Further hydrogen bonds mediate the characteristic L-shaped molecular structure. tRNAs have two regions of fundamental functional importance: the anti-codon, which is responsible for specific mRNA codon recognition, and the 3' end, to which the tRNAs corresponding amino acid is attached (by aminoacyl-tRNA synthetases). tRNAs cope with the degeneracy of the genetic code in two manners: having more than one tRNA (with a specific anti-codon) for a particular amino acid; and 'wobble' base-pairing, i.e. permitting non-standard base-pairing at the 3rd anti-codon position.
Source: RNAcentral
AAGAUAUUAGUUUAAUGGUAGAACAAGAUACUACGGAUUUCUUAAUAAUAGUUCGAAUCUAUUAUAUCUUUC